AGAGUUUGAUCAUGGCUCAGGAUGAACGCUAGCGGCAGGCUUAACACAUGCAAGUCGAGGGGUAUCCGUUUUCGGACGGAGAGACCGGCGCACGGGUGCGUAACGCGUAUGCAACCUACCUUUUACAGGGGAAUAGCCCAGAGAAAUUUGGAUUAAUGCCCCAUGGUAUAUUUUUAGGGCAUCCUAAAGAUAUUAAAGUUCCAACGGUAAAAGAUGGGCAUGCGUCCUAUUAGCUAGAUGGUAAGGUAACGGCUUACCAUGGCUACGAUAGGUAGGGGUCCUGAGAGGGAGAUCCCCCACACUGGUACUGAGACACGGACCAGACUCCUACGGGAGGCAGCAGUGAGGAAUAUUGGACAAUGGGCGCAAGCCUGAUCCAGCCAUGCCGCGUGCAGGAAGACGCAUCUAUGGUGUGUAAACUGCUUUUGUACGGGAAGAAACACCUCUACGUGUAGAGGCUUGACGGUACCGUAAGAAUAAGGAUCGGCUAACUCCGUGCCAGCAGCCGCGGUAAUACGGAGGAUCCAAGCGUUAUCCGGAAUCCUUGGGUUUAAAGGGUCC
This 561-nucleotide ribosomal RNA is filed under the name uncultured Flavobacteriia bacterium. RNAcentral describes it as "bacterial SSU rRNA". It matches the Rfam family "Bacterial small subunit ribosomal RNA", at positions 8 to 570 of the family's 1533-position model. Lineage: Bacteria; Pseudomonadati; Bacteroidota; Flavobacteriia. The record is from RNAcentral.